CCUACGGGUGGCAGCAGUGAGGAAUAUUGGUCAAUGGGCGCGAGCCUGAACCAGCCAAGUAGCGUGAAGGAUGACUGCCCCACGGGUUGUAAACUUCUUUUGUCAAGGAAUAAAGUCAGGCACGUGUGCCUUUUUGUAGGUACUUGAUGAAUAAGGAUCGGCUAACUCCGUGCCAGCAGCCGCGGUAAUACGGAGGAUUCGAGCGUUAUCCGGAUUUAUUGGGUUUAAAGGGAGCGUAGGUGGGUUGUUAAGUCAGUUGUGAAAGGUUGCGGCUCAACCCUAAAAGUGCAAUUGAUACUGGCAGCCUUGAGAUCAGUUGAGGUAGGCGGAAUUCGUGGUGUAGCGGUGAAAUGCUUAGAUAUCGCGCAGAACUCCGAUUGCGAAGGCAGCAUACUAGCGUGCAACUGACAUUGAUGCACGAAAGCGUGGGUAUCAAACAGGAUUAGAUACCCCGGUAGUC
This 460-nucleotide ribosomal RNA is filed under the name uncultured bacterium. Its description in RNAcentral is "partial 16S ribosomal RNA". It matches the Rfam family "Bacterial small subunit ribosomal RNA", at positions 338 to 795 of the family's 1533-position model. The record is from RNAcentral.